CAGGAUGUAGCUCAGUGGCACAGCACCUGUCUGGCAAGCAAAUGUGAAGUCCUAAGUUCUAUUCUUGGUAUCCUCC
Molecule: transfer RNA, 76 nt
Filed under: Cavia porcellus (domestic guinea pig)
Lineage: Eukaryota; Metazoa; Chordata; Mammalia; Rodentia; Caviidae
Rfam family: tRNA
About the family: Transfer RNA (tRNA) molecules are approximately 80 nucleotides in length. Their secondary structure includes four short double-helical elements and three loops (D, anti-codon, and T loops).
Source: Rfam by way of RNAcentral